This 254-nucleotide ribosomal RNA is filed under the name uncultured bacterium. RNAcentral's name for it is "partial 16S ribosomal RNA". It matches the Rfam family "Bacterial small subunit ribosomal RNA", at positions 524 to 776 of the family's 1533-position model. The record is from RNAcentral.
UACGUAGGGGUGCGAGCGUUUGUCCGGAAUUAUUGGGCGUAAAGGCUCGUAGGCGGUCUGUCACGUCGAAAGUGAAAACUCAGGGCUCAACCCUGAGCCUGCUUCCGAUACGGGCAGACUAGAGGUAUGCAGGGGAGAAUGGAAUUCCUGGUGUAGCGGUGAAAUGCGCAGAUAUCAGGAGGAACGCCAGUGGCGAAGGCGGUUCUCUGGGCAUUACCUGACGCUGAGGAGCGAAAGUGUGGGGAGCGAACAGG